This 3183-nucleotide unclassified non-coding RNA is filed under the name Leishmania donovani. Its description in RNAcentral is "gene:LdHU3.35.1190(CDS-product:hypothetical_prote in_conserved)". The record is from RNAcentral. Lineage: Eukaryota; Euglenozoa; Kinetoplastea; Trypanosomatida; Trypanosomatidae.
UGCCUCCUCUUCGUUUCGAAAAAAAAAAAAAACAUCUCCUUCGUGUCUGCCCCACCCCCUCCCUUUGUAUUCCGCCGCUGUUGAGCAAACAGACUUCGUCGUCAGUGGUGUGGUGUCAGCGCAGGAGGGCGAAGGAGCACGCGCGUAUUUCCUCUCACCUGCCCCCCCCCUCUUUGUCUUGUUCACUUAAUCAAAUCGCCGCCAUGUUGACCUGGUCGCUGCCACUGCUGCGCCGACGCGGCACGGGCCACGUCGUGAAGUACCUGGAGGGCGUGCCCACCCCCACAAGGCUUAUCGACCACCUCGCUGGCGCCGACCUGCAUGCGUCCGCCGAGUUACCCUUCUUUACUACCGUGCCGCGCUACGUGGACGUGCAGCGGGAGCAGCGUCUGUCUCGCCUGUACUUUCACCACGUUCUGUACCCCGCGGGAGGGGCUCGGCUGCCCUAUCAAGCAGUCGUCGUGCGCGGAGGACGUGCGGUGCGCUCCUCAGAGACGCAUCUACUGCGGGUAAAGAAGGCGACGAGUCGGAUGCCGCACCAUGCAGAGCAGCAGCAACAGCCCACCGCGGUCGUUGCCCCGGCAGCGCGCCGGCAAAACCCUCUCGCCGUCCCAUCCUCCCAGCUCGGCCCCUCAAGUCCCGCAUCCUCGUCGCCUGCCGCAGCAAAGGUGCCCGUCAUGACCGCCAGCACGACAGUCCCCACAGAGGACGUUCCAGCCGCGGCGUCGUGGGCGCGAGUGGACCCUGCGAGGCGGCCGUACUUUUCCGCCGGCACACCAUGCAGCCACGAACACCGCCGCAGCUCUCAUCGGCCUCCAGAAGACACGAAGCGGUCGGCGAGGGUGGUGGAGGACACGACGUUGGCUCCGUUGCGAGGGGUUCUGGAGCACUUCUGGAAUGAACCAAAGGCAACGAGGAACUCGUCGAGCCAAGACGCCACGAGUGGGCUGCCCUCCGUCUCCCUUUCGACUACGAACGAGAUGGCGGAGCGCGUUCGGCAGCUCCUUGUGUCUCCCGCAGCUGGGCUCCUGUGGAUGCCAGCCUCUGCGUCCCUGCCGAAUACCGCAGGUACCUGUGAGGAAAGCAAACACGCUUCCAGCAGGGUCUCUGACAGCUCAGAGCGGCGUUUCUGGACAGAGUUGAUGGCGCACGUACAGGAGAGAGUGUCAGCAAUGACGAUGCAUGUGGGCGGUGGCGAUGGCGGUGAGAUGAAAUCCCAUGCAGCCGUGCGUACGUGCUUGUAUGUGCAGACGCGGCUUCCCCCGUCAGCGACGGUAGCACUCCCGUUAGCGCAGGUGCGCGAUUAUGUCCACGACAGCAAGGAGACAGCAGGUGACCUCAGCGUGCACGAUGACGCGAGCGAGCAUGUGGUUUGUCGGCUUGCUGGUGGCCUGGAGCCGGUGGUGUCGUUUGCUGUGGGUCGCCCACUGACGCCGGUCGCGACCGACGGCGCUGCCGCCUCGCCGUCGGAUCGUGCCUUCGCGCACGUGACGUGCCUGACGCGACUCAACAUAUGCGUGACGUCGGCGCCGUUGGCAAAGUCCCCAGCGGUGGCCGCAGCAAAAAUGUCAUCUGUUACGCAUCCGAUGAAGGAAGCGGUGCCCCACUCCCGCGACAACACCUCUCCCUCUGCGGAGCCGUGGCGCUUGGGCGGUGUUGGGCUGGACCUCAUGACAACUCUGCACGCCCGCACUGUGGCGGAGCGCCACCCCGCGAAACCCUCGGCGCACACAAACGGACGCUUGGAGGCGCUAACGGAGAACGGCACCUCCAACGUGAAAGCAAACGCGGACAGCGCAGAAGCAGGCCGGUACGUUAUUGGCCGAACGGACGCAGAGACGUACGUGCUCCCGCAGCGUGAGCUGCUACUGACGCUGCACGUGCCCACUCACACAGAAGAAAUGUGCGCCGCGCAAAAUCAGGAGCGGCUGCGCCGGCAGGUGCGCAUAGGUCGAGCAAGUAGUGCAGCGAUGUCGGCAGCGUGGCCAACGGAGCAGACACGGCUCACAUCUUCGCGCCGCGCAGAGGGGCAGUACGCUAAUGCGAUGAGCGCGAACGCGACGGGCGUGCAUCACACAAACGCGCCGCUGCAAGCGACUACAACGCCCCUCGCAGCGUCUCCGUCGAUGCCACUGCUUCUGUCCUGCACCAGUUACGAAGUGCGCGCGCUUCCAGGUGACGUUGUGUACAUACCACGAGGGUGGGGUUUUGACGUGCAGCGCAUUGUCGGCACAGCCACCAUCGGCAACGGCAGCUGCGGUCGCAAAGAAGGUCGUGACGCGGAUAAGGUAGACUUCUACGAUCACCGCGCCGUUGCAGCGCAGAAAGGGACGUGGUCUGGUCGCCGGCCAGAAGCGCCGUCUAAAAGCAGGGAGCCGAGCGACACAGAGUCUCAUGUGGCGUCGACAGCAUCGGUGCAGCUCACCUCCGUCGAGGUGGACGCCUUGUGCCUCAACUAUCAGCCAUACCCUGAGCUUACAGAGGCGCAGGCGGCCGUCUACGUCGCGGCGAACUACGUGCACAGCGGCGUCGACGAGUUCUACGAACGCGGAGGCAACAGCAUCUAUCGCUCGUACCAGUAAAAAACGAGCGACCUUGUGACAGCGGCUCUCACCGAGGAAGCGUUGCCGGGGACUUUUCUAGCUGAGAAGCAACGCCUAUCUGACCGCUCUCCCCCUCCACUUUCCCUCUAUCGCCACUCAACACGCCUCACCCCCCCCCUCCGCAACCCCCCGUCGAUUUCAUGUCUUUGAGCUUGGGCUGACAAUGACUGCCAUGCUGGCGCAGCUCUGUCGACUUGAGAUCAAGGAAUGUUGGUUUGCGCGUCUGAAAUGCCUCCCUCCUGCUUUCCUCCUACGGACGCCUCGCUUCCUGCUCGGGCUACGCUGGUGAUGGCUGUGGCUGUGGCUGUUGUUGGUCAUCUCUCCCCUCCCCGUACUUCACCGUUGUCAGCGACUUUCGAAUCUUUCUGUUUUCCGAGCCACCGCUGUUUCGUUUGGAUGUUGUUGCCUCGCACUCCGCCCCGUCACUCACGCCUUCGCACGCAAUGAGACGGCACUAAAAAUGAAAACGCAAAGCGCAGCAGUGGCAGCCCGCUGAGCUUCUGCCACCGCUCUCAGCCGAGGAAGCACCCGCAUCAGCGUGUCCCGCACGUCGUCCUGCGUUCGGUUGUGACAAGCACAG